Small nuclear RNA from Sciurus carolinensis (gray squirrel), 104 nucleotides. NCBI's taxonomy places the organism in Eukaryota, Metazoa, Chordata, Mammalia, Rodentia, Sciuridae. The record is from RefSeq and is a predicted model, not a curated record.
GUGCUCACAUUAGCACCACACGUACUAAAAUUAAAUGGUAUGGAAAGGGCAGCAUGCCCCUACACAAGGAUGAUGUGCAAAUUUGUGAAGAGUACCAUAUUUUU